CACUUGUAGGCAGGAAAAUGUGGGCCGUUCGAUGGGCAUUGCACUCCAGCACGAGAGCAUUAGGGCGUACCUGGGCAGAAGGAAAAAGGGAUUAGCAGUGUCCUUUAAGCUGGAAAUGAAUCAUGCUACAUAAUCACACAAAAGAUUUAUCGACAAUAUUGAUAUUGGUUCUAGAGCCAUUGUAGUUUAUUUCACCAUACUAGUUGAAUCGUCUCUAAUCUUUCUACCAACUUACAAUUCAUCUGCACAACUCGACGGUUGCUCCAUUCGAUAUCCACUUUUCAGUUUCGUAAUAAGAUUGCUUGUGGAAAGAAGCGGAUAAGGAUUGCCUCCCAACGUGCAAAUUUCGUACAGCAGCACUCCGAAGGACCACACGUCACUCUGUGAAUAAACAUAAACCAAAAAAUAUAUGCAUAAAUUUCUUUAUAAUAAUGAUCCUUUGUUAUGUUAAGACUAACAAAUAAAACAUUGCAUAACUGAA
Molecule: long non-coding RNA, 481 nt
Organism: Culex quinquefasciatus (southern house mosquito)
Lineage: Eukaryota; Metazoa; Arthropoda; Insecta; Diptera; Culicidae
Exons: 2
Source: RefSeq, a predicted model, not a curated record